RNAcentral lists this ribosomal RNA (2126 nucleotides) under Pseudomonas oryzihabitans. RNAcentral describes it as "23S ribosomal RNA". It matches the Rfam family "Bacterial large subunit ribosomal RNA", at positions 1 to 2163 of the family's 2925-position model. Lineage: Bacteria; Pseudomonadati; Pseudomonadota; Gammaproteobacteria; Pseudomonadales; Pseudomonadaceae. The record is from RNAcentral.
GGUCAAGUGAAGAAGCGCAUACGGUGGAUGCCUUGGCAGUCAGAGGCGAUGAAAGACGUGAUAGCCUGCGAUAAGCUUCGGUGAGGUGGCAAAUGACCUGUGACCCGGAGAUCUCUGAAUGGGGGAACCCACCUAGGAUAACCUAGGUAUCUUAACCUGAAUCCAUAGGGUUAAGAGGCGAACCAGGGGAACUGAAACAUCUAAGUACCCUGAGGAAUAGAAAUCAACCGAGAUUCCCUUAGUAGUGGCGAGCGAACGGGGACCAGCCCUUAAGUUGAUUUGAGAGUAGCGGAACGCUCUGGAAAGUGCGGCCAUAGUGGGUGAUAGCCCUGUACGCGAAACGCUCUUAUCAAUGAAAUCGAGUAGGACGGGGCACGAGAAACCCUGUCUGAAUAUGGGGGGACCAUCCUCCAAGGCUAAAUACUCCUGACUGACCGAUAGUGAACCAGUACCGUGAGGGAAAGGCGAAAAGAACCCCGGAGAGGGGAGUGAAAUAGAACCUGAAACCGUAUGCGUACAAGCAGUGGGAGCCUACUUUGUUAGGUGACUGCGUACCUUUUGUAUAAUGGGUCAGCGACUUAUUUUCAGUGGCGAGCUUAACCGAAUAGGGGAGGCGUAGCGAAAGCGAGUCUUAAUAGGGCGUCUAGUCGCUGGGAAUAGACCCGAAACCGGGCGAUCUAUCCAUGAGCAGGUUGAAGGUUAGGUAACACUGACUGGAGGACCGAACCCACUCCCGUUGAAAAGGUAGGGGAUGACUUGUGGAUCGGAGUGAAAGGCUAAUCAAGCUCGGAGAUAGCUGGUUCUCCUCGAAAGCUAUUUAGGUAGCGCCUCAUGUAUCACUCUGGGGGGUAGAGCACUGUUUCGGCUAGGGGGUCAUCCCGACUUACCAAACCGAUGCAAACUCCGAAUACCCAGAAGUGCCGAGCAUGGGAGACACACGGCGGGUGCUAACGUCCGUCGUGAAAAGGGAAACAACCCAGACCGUCAGCUAAGGUCCCAAAGUCCUGGUUAAGUGGUAAACGAUGUGGGAAGGCUUAGACAGCUAGGAGGUUGGCUUAGAAGCAGCCACCCUUUAAAGAAAGCGUAAUAGCUCACUAGUCGAGUCGGCCUGCGCGGAAGAUGUAACGGGGCUCAAACCAGGCACCGAAGCUACGGGUAUCACCUUUGGUGAUGCGGUAGAGGAGCGUUCUGUAAGCCUGUGAAGGUGAGUUGAGAAGCUUGCUGGAGGUAUCAGAAGUGCGAAUGCUGACAUGAGUAACGACAAUGCGAGUGAAAAACUCGCACGCCGAAAGACCAAGGGUUCCUGCGCAACGUUAAUCGACGCAGGGUGAGUCGGUCCCUAAGGCGAGGCUGAAAGGCGUAGUCGAUGGGAAACGGGUUAAUAUUCCCGUACUUCUAGUUACUGCGAUGGGGGGACGGAGAAGGCUAGGCCAGCUUGGCGUUGGUUGUCCAAGUUUAAGGUGGUAGGCUGAUCGUUUAGGUAAAUCCGGACGGUCAAGGCCGAGAGCUGAUGACGACCCUUCUUUUAGAAGGGGAAGUGGUUGAUGCCAUGCUUCCAGGAAAAGCCUCUAAGCUUCAGGUAACUAGGAACCGUACCCCAAACCGACACAGGUGGUCGGGUAGAGAAUACCAAGGCGCUUGAGAGAACUCGGGUGAAGGAACUAGGCAAAAUGGCACCGUAACUUCGGGAGAAGGUGCGCCGGUGAGGGUGAAGGGUUUACCCCGUAAGCUCAUGCCGGUCGAAGAUACCAGGCCGCUGCGACUGUUUAUUAAAAACACAGCACUCUGCAAACACGAAAGUGGACGUAUAGGGUGUGACGCCUGCCCGGUGCCGGAAGGUUAAUUGAUGGGGUUAGCGCAAGCGAAGCUCUUGAUCGAAGCCCCGGUAAACGGCGGCCGUAACUAUAACGGUCCUAAGGUAGCGAAAUUCCUUGUCGGGUAAGUUCCGACCUGCACGAAUGGCGUAACGAUGGCGGCGCUGUCUCCACCCGAGACUCAGUGAAAUUGAAAUCGCUGUGAAGAUGCAGUGUAUCCGCGGCUAGACGGAAAGACCCCGUGAACCUUUACUGUAGCUUUGCACUGGACUUUGAGCUUGCUUGUGUAGGAUAGGUGGGAGGCUUUGAAGU